GAGUUUGAUCAUGGCUCAGAGUGAACGCUGGCGGCAGGCCUAACACAUGCAAGUCGAACGGCAGCACAGAGGAGCUUGCUCCUUGGGUGGCGAGUGGCGGACGGGUGAGGAAUGCAUCGGAAUCUGCCUAUUUGUGGGGGAUAACGUAGGGAAACUUACGCUAAUACCGCAUACGUCCUACGGGAGAAAGUGGGGGACCUUCGGGCCUCACGCAGAUAGAUGAGCCGAUGCCGGAUUAGCUAGUUGGCGGGGUAAAGGCCCACCAAGGCGACGAUCCGUAGCUGGUCUGAGAGGAUGAUCAGCCACACUGGAACUGAGACACGGUCCAGACUCCUACGGGAGGCAGCAGUGGGGAAUAUUGGACAAUGGGCGCAAGCCUGAUCCAGCCAUGCCGCGUGUGUGAAGAAGGCC
Molecule: ribosomal RNA, 411 nt
Filed under: uncultured Gammaproteobacteria bacterium
Lineage: Bacteria; Pseudomonadati; Pseudomonadota; Gammaproteobacteria
Description: bacterial SSU rRNA
Rfam family: Bacterial small subunit ribosomal RNA
Source: RNAcentral